Molecule: transfer RNA, 71 nt
Filed under: Microcaldota archaeon
Lineage: Archaea; Nanobdellati; Microcaldota
Description: tRNA-Gly
Rfam family: tRNA
About the family: Transfer RNA (tRNA) molecules are approximately 80 nucleotides in length. Their secondary structure includes four short double-helical elements and three loops (D, anti-codon, and T loops).
Source: RNAcentral
GCGGCCGUAGUCUAGUGGUAGGAUGCUGGCUUGCCAAGCCAGAGGCCCGGGUUCAAAUCCCGGCGGCCGCA